This 404-nucleotide ribosomal RNA is filed under the name uncultured bacterium. RNAcentral's name for it is "partial 16S ribosomal RNA". It matches the Rfam family "Bacterial small subunit ribosomal RNA", at positions 28 to 526 of the family's 1533-position model. The record is from RNAcentral.
GAUGAACGCUGACAGCAUGCUUAACACAUGCAAGUCAACUGUGGCGCACGGGUGAGUACCGCGUAAAGAACUUGCCUCCCAGCUAGGGCUACCUAUUGGACACGAAUGAUAAUACCUGAUCCUGUGAGAGAGUUUUGCGUCCAAUUAGAUAGUUGGAGAGGUAACGGCUCACCAAGGCGAGGAUGGGUAGCCGGCCUGAGAGGGUGAUCGGCCACAAGGGGACUGGGACACGGGCCGUACUCAGACGGGCGGCAGCAGUGGGGGAUAAUGGACAAUGGACCAAAGACUGAUGCAGCAAUUCUGUGUGCAAGAUGAAGUUUUCGGGAAGAAAAGUGCGUUAAGUUAGGGAGCGGUACCAACUCAGGAAGUGACGGCUAAAUACGUGCCAGCAGCCGCGGUAAUUC